UGUGGAUGCACCCUAAGGUAUGCCCAAAAUGAUAAUUCUAUCAAGCACUCCUCUAUAUAUAAACCUCUAUUUCUCUCUUUCACAUUGUUUCAAGCAAAUUGUCCCAAACAUUUGCUCUGUCCAAAUUAAGAAAAUUAUCGUCUAAAUUUUGUACACUACUCAAUUAUGGCUCUCUCGUAUUCCAUGUUCUUGCUAUCAAUAUUGCUUGCGUUUGCAGCCUUUUCAGCUGCGCAAUCUCCAAUUUCAGCACCUCCAAUGGCAACACCAGCAAUGCCACCAUCUAGCAUGGCGGCACCACCACAAAUGGCUGCAACUCCGCCUUCAACUAGUAUGCCGCCGGCCAUGUCACCACCGCCAAUGGCAGCUCCACCGAUGGCGCCUGGUCCAUCCAUGACCUCACCCCCUGCACCGCCAAUGGCAGCUCCAUCAAUGGCGCCUGGUCCAUCGCCCAUGGGGGAAUCUCCAGGUCCUUCUAUGUCACCCCGGUCGGCUGAUUUUGUACAUGGAUGUAGCACAACUAUCUUGGCACUGCUCGGUGGAGUCGCACUCCUAGCUUAACUUAUGGCUACCGGUUUCAGUUUCCAUUUAUGUUUUUGACUUAUUUGGGAAGGUAAACUAGUACUUAUUAUCAAAAGAAGCUACGAUCUUGCUAGUUAUAUUGUUCUACAUACGUACCAAACUUGUGCUUCGUGUAGGGUUGAAUAAUUAUUUGUGAAUUCUUUCUGUUCCAAGUGUUUCUUCGUGCUAUAUCUACAUGUAACCAUUUAUUUGGUGAUUGAUUAUGGAUUGUAUUAUAGAUUUAUUGUGCUACUACUCGUAGCAUUUUGGCUUUAGCUUUAAUAAGAAGACUCUUUCAUUAUUGUUUGUGUUUCAGUACUAAGAAUCUCUAAUACAAGUAUUGGAAAACUGAAAAAUAAAGCAUUGGAAUUGACUAACAACACACUCUGUAUACGUUUCUUACGUUAGGCUAUACAUGAUUGAAGUGAAUAACUAUUAAAUUGUUUACGUGUCUCAAUCUGUUCCCCGAUACUGUCAAUCUUAUCUAAUCAAAUAUACUAAACAUGUUAAACAUACAGUUCUACUUCGAUUUUCAUGGUUGCUUGACUAAUUGAAUUCAACUAAGCACAAAUUGUUUUAAGAUUGAAAAUGCAUGUGUUUUGUGUGUGAACGUUUAGAUAAAACACUAACUAAAUGGGUGGAGGAGAGGUGAGAAGCCUUUUAGGAAAUGGGGAAAGUGUCCAAUGGGAGUUUUGAGUGGAUUGGAAAGAAG
Molecule: long non-coding RNA, 1270 nt
Filed under: Olea europaea subsp. europaea
Lineage: Eukaryota; Viridiplantae; Streptophyta; Magnoliopsida; Lamiales; Oleaceae
Source: RNAcentral